RNAcentral lists this unclassified non-coding RNA (240 nucleotides) under soil metagenome. Its description in RNAcentral is "partial contains 5.8S ribosomal RNA, internal transcribed spacer 2, and large subunit ribosomal RNA". The record is from RNAcentral.
AAGACUAUAGACCUGCGGAGUACCUGCGGAAGGAUCAUUAUUGAAUUAUGUUUCUAAAUGGGUUGUAGCUGGCUCGUCAGAGCAUGUGCACGCCUGUUUGGACUUCAUUUUCAUCCACCUGUGCACCUAUUGUAGUCUUUGGUUGGGUAUCAAGGAAGUGGUCAGCCUAUCAGCACUUGCUGGAUGUGAGGACUUGCAGUAUGAAAGCUUUGCUGUCCUUUACUUGAUCAUGGAGUUGUU